This 514-nucleotide long non-coding RNA is filed under the name Homo sapiens (human). RNAcentral's name for it is "HSALNT0150980". Lineage: Eukaryota; Metazoa; Chordata; Mammalia; Primates; Hominidae. The record is from RNAcentral.
UGGGGGGCUUUGUUUGUGUUUACCAGCUUGUGAUGAUGCUCAUUUCUGACUAGAAACCCACUCUGUUUGGAUAGUGGGGCUUCUACUGAGUAAACCUGGCUGCAGGCAGUGGAGUGUACAGAUACAGCUCUCCAAAGUCUGCGAAGGGCCAACUGUGGAGGCCUCUCUGGGACAGUUCUGGGAUACUGCAGUUGCUUACACAGCUUCCCCAGCUUAUUGCAGGAACUCCUGGAGUGUCAGGAAGAAUACCUCCAUCUGUAAUAUGCUGAGUUAUAAAUCCCCAAAUAGGAUGUUAUAGAGAUGAAUGAAGCAAUGUUUCCAAGAUGCUUGGAGGUCUGGGAUGAAAAUCUGCUGAAACAGAGCAAAAAGCUAAGUCGUGAUCAGCCUUGCAUACAGCGGAAUGUAGAUCCUCGUCAUCGGAUUUGGACCCAGUGUAGACAGCACCUGAGCAUCAGUCAACUCCACCUUCUAAAGCCUGUGUUUAGUGCACAUCUCUGCCUCCCUCUUGUCUGCU